UACGUAGGGGGCUAGCGUUGUCCGGAAUCAUUGGGCGUAAAGAGCGUGUAGGCGGCCCGGUAAGUCCGCUGUAAAAGUCAAAGGCUCAACCUUUGAAUGUCAGUGGAUACUGCCGGGCUAGAGUCCGGAAGAGGCGAGUGGAACUCCUGGUGUAGCGGUGGAAUGCGCAGAUAUCAGGAGGAACACCGGUGGCGAAGGCGGGUCUCUGGGCAGCAACUGACGCUGAGGAGCGAAAGCGUGGGGAGCGAACAGG
This 253-nucleotide ribosomal RNA is filed under the name uncultured bacterium. RNAcentral's name for it is "partial 16S ribosomal RNA". It matches the Rfam family "Bacterial small subunit ribosomal RNA", at positions 524 to 776 of the family's 1533-position model. The record is from RNAcentral.